AUACGGAGGGUGCGAGCGUUGUUCGGAAUCACUGGGCGUAAAGGGCGCGCAGGCGGUCUGUCAAGUCAGAUGUGAAAGCCCACGGCUCAACCGUGGACGUGCAUCUGAAACUGGCAGACUCGGGUACCGGAGGGGAAAGUGGAAUUCCCGGUGUAGAGGUGAAAUUCGUAGAUAUCGGGAGGAAUACCGGAGGCGAAGGCGACUUUCUGGACGGAUACUGACGCUGAGGCGCGAAAGCGUGGGGAGCGAACAGGAUUAGAAACCCGUGUAGUCC
This 274-nucleotide ribosomal RNA is filed under the name uncultured bacterium. RNAcentral describes it as "partial 16S ribosomal RNA". It matches the Rfam family "Bacterial small subunit ribosomal RNA", at positions 523 to 796 of the family's 1533-position model. The record is from RNAcentral.